This 359-nucleotide long non-coding RNA is filed under the name Homo sapiens (human). RNAcentral describes it as "non-protein coding lnc-C13orf46-4:2". Lineage: Eukaryota; Metazoa; Chordata; Mammalia; Primates; Hominidae. The record is from RNAcentral.
GCAUAAUGACAUGCACACACAUACUAACAGACAUGUACACAUACAUGCACACAUUCACAUAGAUGUACCUACACAGUCACACAGACAUGCAUACAUAGGCACACACAGACAUGUACACAUACGUACACAGUCACACACAGACAUGCACACACAAAGGCACAUACUAGCAGACAUGUACACAUGCACACAUUCACAUAGACAUAUGUAAACACACAGUCACACACACUGACAGACAUGCACACACAUGCACACAUUCACAUAGACAUACGUACACAGUCAUACACUGACAGACAUGUACACACAUGCAUAAUAUGCACACAUGUACACACAGUCACAUAAAUAGACACAUAUACACACAC